UACAGAGGUGGCAAGCGUUGUUCGGAAUUACUGGGCGUAAAGGGCGCGUAGGCGGCCGCCUAAGUCAGACGUGAAAUCCCCGGGCUUAACCUGGGAACUGCAUUUGUGACUGCAAGGCUGGAGUACGGUAGAGGGGGAUGGAAUUCCGCGUGUAGCAGUGAAAUGCGUAGAUAUGCGGAGGAACACCAGUGGCGAAGGCGGCUCACUGGUCCGGUACUGACGCUGAGGUGCGAAAGCGUGGGGAGCAAACAGG
RNAcentral lists this ribosomal RNA (253 nucleotides) under uncultured bacterium. RNAcentral describes it as "partial 16S ribosomal RNA". It matches the Rfam family "Bacterial small subunit ribosomal RNA", at positions 524 to 776 of the family's 1533-position model. The record is from RNAcentral.